RNAcentral lists this ribosomal RNA (449 nucleotides) under uncultured bacterium. RNAcentral's name for it is "bacterial SSU rRNA". It matches the Rfam family "Bacterial small subunit ribosomal RNA", at positions 355 to 801 of the family's 1533-position model. The record is from RNAcentral.
UAGGGAAUAUUGGGCAAUGGAGGGAACUCUGACCCAGCCAUGCCGCGUGCAGGAUGAAGGCGUUAUGCGUUGUAAACUGCUUUUUAUAUAGGAAGAAAUAGUCCUUGCGAGGAAAGUUGACGGUACUAUAUGAAUAAGCACCGGCUAACUCCGUGCCAGCAGCCGCGGUAAUACGGAGGGUGCAAGCGUUGUCCGGAUUUAUUGGGUUUAAAGGGUGCGUAGGCGGUUUAUUAAGUCAGUGGUGAAAGACGGUCGCUCAACGAUUGCAGUGCCAUUGAUACUGGUAGACUUGAGUAUGAUUGAGGUAGCUGGAAUGGAUAGUGUAGCGGUGAAAUGCAUAGAUAUUAUCCAGAACACCAAUUGCGUAGGCAAGUUACUAAGUCAUAACUGACGCUGAGGCACGAAAGUGUGGGUAUCAAGCAGGAUUAGAUACCCCCGUAGUCCCUGAG